CAAAAUGAUACUCAGGUUGGGUUGGGUUUGGUCAUGUGAACACAAAGACACUACACGUACAGAACCUUUGUGAAACUAUGUCAUAGUCCUGCCUCUGUAACCUCAGCCACUCAUAAUUAAUGGCAUGUUAUUGUUGUUAAAAUUAUAUUAAAAUAUCACUGUUAAC
This is a long non-coding RNA of Thalassophryne amazonica, 166 nucleotides long. RefSeq lists it as uncharacterized. The record is from RefSeq and is a predicted model, not a curated record. The transcript is spliced from 5 exons. NCBI's taxonomy places the organism in Eukaryota, Metazoa, Chordata, Actinopteri, Batrachoidiformes, Batrachoididae.